Molecule: long non-coding RNA, 866 nt
Organism: Salvia miltiorrhiza (redroot sage)
Lineage: Eukaryota; Viridiplantae; Streptophyta; Magnoliopsida; Lamiales; Lamiaceae
Exons: 6
Source: RefSeq, a predicted model, not a curated record
GUCCCAAUUGUUCACGUCUCCUUAGAAAAUUUUCCCAAAACAUCACCAUUUCUCCUCCAUGGAAACCGCCGCUCCCCUUCUCCUUUCUCUAACCUUUCUUCUUCACAUUAAAUUAUUAAUUCUCCAUAAUCAACUUUAAUUUUAACCUUCACUCCCACACCUCAGUCUCUUGGUUAUCACCCGGCGUCAUUGCUCACACCCCAUCUUGUCUCUCAUCUCCUAGCUUCAUCGCAAAGAUAAUGUACAUCUUGAUGCUUAGGUAGGGACAUAGAGACACACGAUUUGUAACACAGGUUGCAUUGUGAAAUCGGCCCCCAAACGAGCAUGCUGGUGAUUUGCACAUUCGGAGUAUGAAGGCCUGGAAAUUAAAUUACUAAAGAAAAGGUUAGUUUUACAGAGUCCAUUGAAAUGUGCCAAUUUAUAGUGCAAGUUACAACACAAAGAAAUUCGAAACUUGUUUCCUUGGAAUUGGAAUGAAUGAUACUACUUACUUGAUGAUUACUAGCAAUACAACUUGAAGAUGAAUUAAAUUAUUUUGACAAAAUGGUUGUUCCACCUUGUCAUUUGGUGGCACUUGGAGGCAUCAAUGAAAUGUCAGAUACUUGGACUCAAGAUAAUAACACAAUUUUUUCACAAGAAGAAUUUGGAGAAUGCAACUAAGCUACCUGUUUAUAGCUUGGAAAUAAGGAAUUUUAUUCCUUACCAACAACCUUAGUCUAAUUUUCUUUUAGAAAUAUUUGGUAGGAUCUAGAGCACUAUUUUGUUAGCAAUAAGACAAUAUUAUCUUAAUACUUUCUUGUUUAUUGAUCAUUGUAAUGAAGUUAGAUUUAUUUUUGAAAUGAACAAAGUAUUGGCGUUAUUACUAA